GAUGAACGCUGGCGGCGUGCCUAAUACAUGCAAGUCGAGCGAACGGACGAGAAGCUUGCUUCUCUGAUGUUAGCGGCGGACGGGUGAGUAACACGUGGAUAACCUACCUAUAAGACUGGGAUAACUUCGGGAAACCGGAGCUAAUACCGGAUAAUAUUUUGAACCGCAUGGUUCAAAAGUAAAAGACGGUCUUGCUGUCACUUAUAGAUGGAUCCGCGCUGCAUUAGCUAGUUGGUAAGGUAACGGCUUACCAAGGCAACGAUGCAUAGCCGACCUGAGAGGGUGAUCGGCCACACUGGAACUGAGACACGGUCCAGACUCCUACGGGAGGCAGCAGUAGGGAAUCUUCCGCAAUGGGCGAAAGCCUGACGGAGCAACGCCGCGUGAGUGAUGAAGGUCUUCGGAUCGCAAAACUCUGUUAUUAGGGAAGAACAUAUGUGUAAGUAACUGUGCACAUCUUGACGGUACCUAAUCAGAAAGCCACGGCUAACUACGUG
RNAcentral lists this ribosomal RNA (497 nucleotides) under uncultured bacterium. RNAcentral describes it as "partial 16S ribosomal RNA". It matches the Rfam family "Bacterial small subunit ribosomal RNA", at positions 28 to 507 of the family's 1533-position model. The record is from RNAcentral.